RNAcentral lists this ribosomal RNA (253 nucleotides) under uncultured bacterium. RNAcentral describes it as "partial 16S ribosomal RNA". It matches the Rfam family "Bacterial small subunit ribosomal RNA", at positions 524 to 776 of the family's 1533-position model. The record is from RNAcentral.
UACGAAGGGGGCUAGCGUUGCUCGGAAUCACUGGGCGUAAAGGGUGCGUAGGCGGGUCUUUAAGUCAGGGGUGAAAUCCUGGAGCUCAACUCCAGAACUGCCUUUGAUACUGAGGAUCUUGAGUUCGGGAGAGGUGAGUGGAACUGCGAGUGUAGAGGUGAAGUUCGUAGAUAUUCGCAAGAACACCAGUGGCGAAGGCGGCUCACUGGCCCGAUACUGACGCUGAGGUGCGAAAGCGUGGGGAGCAAACAGG